Molecule: long non-coding RNA, 1233 nt
Filed under: Bos indicus x Bos taurus (hybrid cattle)
Lineage: Eukaryota; Metazoa; Chordata; Mammalia; Artiodactyla; Bovidae
Description: lncRNA (ENSBIXG00005029693.1)
Source: RNAcentral
CAAAAAUGCUGUAUCUGGUCUAAAUAGAUCAUGAGGCAGAAUCUGAUUAGUUCUCCACAGUAUCCCUCUUCGCUUCAUCUUCGGCUUGCUCCUAAAGUGCACUUCGCAUUUCACGUAAGGACGUGCGAGGAGCACCCCGUAGAAUGUGGGCAGAGGGGAUGUGCAUCACUUCCAGAAAUGGCCCUAAAACCUGCCCUGUUACCCACGUUUGCUCCUUGCCUUCCCGCUGGCUACCUGUGUAGCCCAAGUGGAGGUCUGUGAGGCACCAAAGACGGUGGAGCCACGUGAUGCAGACAACUGGACUCCUGCACGACUCUGUGGAGCAUGGUGCUCCCCGUACUGGCACGAGAAAGAAAGCUCCAUCAUUAUGGACCUGGGCCAUCUUUGGUCUCAACUGUUUCAAUUGUUUUUGAAGUGCUUACUAAGCUCUGUCACCCAUACAGAUACCAGAGGACUGUUGUUAAACCUUCAAACAAAUCAUGUCAGUGGCUCACUGAUGGGCCACAUAACCUGCAGGAUCUAGCCCUUCCCUUCCAGUAUCAGCUCAACUCAUUCUCCUUCGCUCCCUGCAGUGCACUACAGCUUCAUUGACCUUUCAGUUCUUGGACAACAUCUGGGCCUUGGCUCCACUUAAGGCCUUCAGAUUUGUUUUGUUGUAGACCUGUCAGUCUGCUGCCCAUGAUCCUCAUGACUAAGAUCUGAGUUUUAGGGUCACAACCAAAUGGCCACCUCCUCAGAGAGGUCUUCCUCUCUGUUUUCUUCAACUGCCUUCUUCUCUGUCACACUGAUGCCCCUAUUUCUCUGAGUGUAUUUUCUCUCUGAAGAUGUGGACUUACUGGGAAUUUACAUACAUGGAAGUUGCAACUUUCAGUAAAAAAAAAAAACAAGGAAACAUUCAUGAAAACAGUAUCAUGGUCAUUUCCAGGAAAUUUCACAAUGUGUUAUUUUUUGUUUUUAUGCCACUUCUCUUACCUAAAUGUGGUAAAGCUCUACUGGGAGUAUGGACAAUGUCUUGUCACUGCUUGAGAAAAAAAGACAUACAAAAAACCAAGUAUCUGUUUUCUUUGUGUGAAAAAUUCUAAACCAUAUUCUUAGACAGCCUUUGUGGCAUCUACUUUGUCCCAGUGGUUCCUUUUCCCAGGUAAUCCAUGUACAUGCUGAAUGAACCACCAUGCCUGAGUGUAGACCAGAUGGCCUUGUUUGAACCAUCCUCACAGUCCAUCCUCACUGUCU